CUACCAGUAUGAACGCGAGUCAGUUAUUUAAGUCAGGAGGAAUAAGCUGGCACAACCAAGACUAGAGCAGAACGUUUCACAGUGGUUUUGAAACAAAUGAACCAGGUUCCAGUCCCUCCUACAUGCAUGGUUCACCAUCCUGACCUCGAUCCAAACUGUUUGAAUCCAUACAACCUUCAGAUUUUCCACAACAUAUACAGAGCUGACUAUGGACGUUUGAGGCGUAGUAUAGAAGAGGAGCGAUACCGGUCACUCGACUACCGUGGUGUGGUCAGCUGGUGAUAUUUAGGACGACACAUGAGGCUCGCCAUCCCGUCAUGUGUUGUAUUUCAGAAACACAGGGAGUUUCCUGAUCCGGCUGGUCAGAAUGUUGGCUUCAGGCUGCUCCUUGACAGAAGAGGGACACAUGGCGGGCAACACUUUCUCCUUUGAGGGUCUCUCACACUGGGACGACAUCAGCUUCAUCAGUUCAUCCAAGUACUCUGUAAAAACAGCAUUUAAACAGUCAUUUUAUUGUUUUAAACUAAGUAUGGUUCCUUCCUUAUUUGU
Long non-coding RNA from Anoplopoma fimbria (sablefish), 549 nucleotides. RefSeq lists it as uncharacterized. NCBI's taxonomy places the organism in Eukaryota, Metazoa, Chordata, Actinopteri, Perciformes, Anoplopomatidae. The transcript is spliced from 3 exons. The record is from RefSeq and is a predicted model, not a curated record.